Molecule: ribosomal RNA, 433 nt
Filed under: uncultured bacterium
Lineage: Bacteria
Description: partial 16S ribosomal RNA
Rfam family: Bacterial small subunit ribosomal RNA
Source: RNAcentral
AACGAACGCUGGCGGCAUGCCUAACACAUGCAAGUCGAACGAGACCUUCGGGUCUAGUGGCGCACGGGUGCGUAACGCGUGGGAACCUGCCCUUAGGUUCGGAAUAACUCCCCGAAAGGGGUGCUAAUACCGGAUAAUGUCUUCGGACCAAAGAUUUAUCGCCUUUGGAUGUGCCCGCGUUGGAUUAGCUAGUUGGUAGGGUAAAAGCCUACCAAGGCGACGAUCCAUAGCUGGUCUGAGAGGAUGAUCAGCCACACUGGGGCUGAGACACGGCCCAGACUCCUACGGGAGGCAGCAGUGGGGAAUAUUGGACAAGGGGCGGAAGGCUGAUCCAGCAAUGCCGCGUGAGUGAUGAAGGCCUUAGGGUUGUAAAGCUCUUUUAACCGGGAUGAUAAUGACAGUACCGGGAGAAUAAGCUCCGGCUAACUCCGUG